UACGUAGGUGGCAAGCGUUGUCCGGAAUUAUUGGGCGUAAAGCGCGCGCAGGCGGUCCUUUAAGUCUGAUGUGAAAGCCCACGGCUCAACCGUGGAGGGUCAUUGGAAACUGGGGGACUUGAGUACAGAAGAGAAGAGUGGAAUUCCACGUGUAGCGGUGAAAUGCGUAGAGAUGUGGAGGAACACCCGUGGCGAAGGCGGCUCUCUGGGACGGUACUGACGCUGAGACGCGAAAGCGUGGGGAGCGAACAGG
RNAcentral lists this ribosomal RNA (253 nucleotides) under uncultured bacterium. Its description in RNAcentral is "partial 16S ribosomal RNA". It matches the Rfam family "Bacterial small subunit ribosomal RNA", at positions 524 to 776 of the family's 1533-position model. The record is from RNAcentral.